AUUUCAGGGCCACGAUCUUGUCCUGAUGUGCGGGGUUUGCGGUGUCACGCAUCCAUCCAUCCAUCUUCUCAGACCCGCAAGGUCGGCAUAUUUAGGCGCGCGGAGGAGGAGUGCUGGUGACUGUCAUGACAGCGCAUCCUGUUAAUAACCAUGUCAUCCUAAUUAGUAAAGUAAUUAUGAGGUGCUAAUGAGCGUUCAAAGGUAGUAAGAAAAUUCAGCACUUUUUUCCCCCCUCUUCUUCUUCUUCUUCUUCUUCUUCCUCCUUCUUCUCGACGUGGAUUUGACGGAUAUCGGAGGGGAGAAGAUGUGCGGGGCGUGCGGGGAAGAAGGCUGCAGGUCCUGUAUGUGUGUGUGCACGCGGCUCUCCUCCCCGGGAUGAUGCGUUCAGGGGAACUUGCCACUUCUCACAGAGAGCCGAAUCAGGUUGAUACUGCUGACGAUGACUACUGACGUGAGGCGGAUGAAGAUUUUAUGCUGUUGUUGAGGAAAUCUGGAUUUGCAGUGAUGCUCGCUGCUCCUUCCUCUCUCUGGCUGCUCCGUCAGGGACGCAGGCGCAGUCUGAGCACCAGGCGGCGACAAAACCGAGUCUGCGGGUCGAGCGGUGCUGGUGGAUCCAGGAACCAACCGGAGGCCUCAGCUGCCCUCUGACGACUUCACAUCCCGGCAGCACCGACUUGAUGUUAAAUUAACACGGACUCGGAGAUAAUUACCGACCAGUCAGCCGUAUUAUGGUGCAGCUCAGAAAUGAAGCAGAGUGGCAGUCAGAGAGCAACAGAUACAUGUUAAAGAAACACGCACCGUCUCCACACUGGAAGCCCCAAUUAACAAUAAUCAGGCCUUUUCAAAAUAAAACGCGGUCCGACGCUCGCGUCUCGUGUCCGGACGCGUCAGUCAGCUGCGGACAAGCAGCCGAUCAAUCGCGUUUAUUGGCUUUAAGGCGCCGCAGGAGCGACAUUGAACGCCACCAGUUAGUGUUUCGUCUUAUCGGGAAUCAGCUUGAUGGUCGAUGAUGAUGGGACGGUGUAACAGUGGCUGGCACCAUAUUGAUUCUCCGGCGGCUUUGCGUGUAAGCUGUCACUUCACCGCUGGCGACCUUUUGGGUUGCACAAUUGCAGCGUUUACAGAGAGA
Long non-coding RNA from Acanthopagrus latus (yellowfin seabream), 1129 nucleotides. RefSeq lists it as uncharacterized. The transcript has 3 exons. NCBI's taxonomy places the organism in Eukaryota, Metazoa, Chordata, Actinopteri, Spariformes, Sparidae. The record is from RefSeq and is a predicted model, not a curated record.